This 396-nucleotide ribosomal RNA is filed under the name Triticum aestivum (bread wheat). RNAcentral's name for it is "partial small subunit ribosomal RNA". The record is from RNAcentral. Lineage: Eukaryota; Viridiplantae; Streptophyta; Magnoliopsida; Poales; Poaceae.
AUGGGAGAUACCAGUAGGGAUUCCGGUAUUGAGAAAUUGUGUGAAAGUAUACAGCGUAUGAUUUCACAGCUGAUGGAGCAGGCACAAACAAAGACAAGCAGUACUUCUGAAAUUUUGAAGACCCUGGAACCCAAUCCUGUCAGGUUAACUGGUCCGGGUGAUUUUUUUAGCUGGUCUCGGAAUGCCACAUUGAUUCUGGAGUCACAUGGACUUCAGAAAUUUUUGAAGGACGAUGAAAAAAAAUCAACGGAUGUCACACAAGAGCAAUGGGAUCAGAAUCAAAAGCGAGUUAUGGUAUGGCUGUUGGGGUCGAUGGAGAAGACUGUUAGGGAACAAGUUGAAGGGUUUCAGUCUGCAGCUGAGGUGUGGACAAGCAUUGAGAAACAGUUCUCAUGA